CGUCCAAUUAGGAUCAGGCGGAUGGCAGAAGAACGAAGCACAAUGAUCAGGACCACUGGCUCGUUGGACCCCAGACACAGCAACCAUGGCCAAAGGGGUCGCAUGGCAUGGAGAUGGCCCCAACUACCGGCACUUCCCGACACCGAUGCAGAUGGUCUGAGGCGAUGACUCCGAUAAAUCCGAAGACGGUGAAGAACUCCAAGGACGUAACUAGCAUGCAAACACUACC
RNAcentral lists this long non-coding RNA (229 nucleotides) under Elaeis guineensis (African oil palm). Its description in RNAcentral is "long non-coding RNA (EGUI_LNC016105)". Lineage: Eukaryota; Viridiplantae; Streptophyta; Magnoliopsida; Arecales; Arecaceae. The record is from RNAcentral.